AACGCGAAGAACCUUACCUAGGUUUGACAUCCUUUGACAAUGCCAGAGAUGGUACUUUCGUAGCAAUACGACAAAGAGACAGGUGCUGCAUGGCUGUCGUCAGCUCGUGUGGUGGCAUGUCGGGUUAAGUCCCUCAACGAGCGCAACCCCUGUGUUUAGUUGCCAGCAUUAAGUUGGGCACUCUAGACAGACUGCCGUGGUUAACACGGAGGAAGGCGGGGAUGACGUCAAGUCCUCAUGGCCCUUACACCUAGGGCGACACACGUAAUACAAUGGUUGAUACAGAGGGAAGCGAAAUGGUGACAUGGAGCAAAUCUCAAAAAGUCAAUCUCAGUUCGGAUUAGAGUCUGCAACUCGACUCUAUGAAGGCGGAAUCGCUAGUAAUCGCGGAUCAGCACGCCGCGGUGAAUACGUUCCCGGGCCUUGUACACACCGCGUGUCU
RNAcentral lists this ribosomal RNA (442 nucleotides) under uncultured bacterium. RNAcentral's name for it is "bacterial SSU rRNA". It matches the Rfam family "Bacterial small subunit ribosomal RNA", at positions 958 to 1399 of the family's 1533-position model. The record is from RNAcentral.